CUCAAGGUGCCUCACACAAGUAAGGUCUAACCUUAACAACCCCCAGAGCAAGCACACAGCAUCUGUGGUAAGGAAAACUCCCUCUUUGGAAGAAACCUCAAGCAGGCCAGACUCAAAGGGGUGACCCCUCUGCUUGGUCAUGCUACCGACAC
This is a long non-coding RNA of Thalassophryne amazonica, 152 nucleotides long. RefSeq lists it as uncharacterized. The record is from RefSeq and is a predicted model, not a curated record. The transcript is spliced from 3 exons. Lineage: Eukaryota; Metazoa; Chordata; Actinopteri; Batrachoidiformes; Batrachoididae.